Long non-coding RNA from Ceratina calcarata, 3911 nucleotides. RefSeq lists it as uncharacterized. The transcript is spliced from 5 exons. NCBI's taxonomy places the organism in Eukaryota, Metazoa, Arthropoda, Insecta, Hymenoptera, Apidae. The record is from RefSeq and is a predicted model, not a curated record.
UUACAGCGUACUUUGGGAUAAAGCCCGUUUUCGAGCCAUCCUCGUCGUACGCCGCCGAGUCGUGAGUUCCAGAUGAAGCCAGGUUCCAAAUUGCUGGUGACACAACCCGUGACAUCCAAAUCUUCGCAUCUAAAACAGUUUCGGGAGAAAUGGCAAAAGUUUCUUGGCUGAACGUGUCGGAAACGGAACUAUUUAAUUAUCUCGAUGUCUUCCGGAGGAUCCAGUGACUGACGCGGUUCCGCCGAAGCCGAUGUUAUCAGCCGGGGAUGCAGCGAAAGAACUUUACAAAGGAGAAUUUAAUAAAGGAAGCUGGUCAACUUUGCAGCUGGCAGUGAAUUCGAGGCACGUUGGAUCGAACGGACGACGGAGCUGUUCGUCGUGACGUUCGACUGAAGAGAGGUAUAAAUACGGGACCGAUCGUGCAACUGUUGGGUCUACGACGUGGGUCCUGCCACAGGGGUGCUCCCAUUGUAAUUUGAAGUCUUGGCGAGGGUGGCGACGAGGGCCAGACGUCUCCGCGUUCAACCCUCGAACAAUGCGAGGGAUGCGAAUGGUUAGCGUAAUUCGCCAGUGUCGAAAUUCGCCGGUGCAGUCUCCAGACGUUUCACCCCUCGUGAAUGCGUCACCACCGUUACAAAGCGUUUCCCCCUUUGACUCUCAUCUCGCCGACCUUACGCGCAAUAAUUACUGAUGUUUAAUAAAUAGUGUAAAUAAAUGUUUGUAAUUAGUACUGUAAUGGAAACGAAGAUAAAAGAUCGGAAUGAGUAAAGUUUUAACGCCUGGGGUGAAGCUCGGUCGGCGACGCUUCCGGCUAUUGUAAUUCGAAAUCCUUCAACCGGAACUCAGCGUUUCGCAUUAACUGUCAAGCCUUAGGGCUGAGUGGUCGCAGUAAUUUCGUUCCGCCGGAAUUUGUGGCCGUCGCCACCACGAGACACUCGCGCACAAUGCCCGGUAAGUUCCCGAGGAAUUCGCGUUAUCCGCGAGACAGACAUCCCACGGCUACGAAAGCGAACUUCCCGAUUCCGGUAAUUAUACAUCGCAUCGAGGCUCCCUCCGCCGGCCGAACUUCCUCCGCCGAGCGCAACGUUUCUGAUAUCGCGUGCCAUUGUUUCGUAUCUGGAAUCGAUGAAAUAUCGAGUUCGACGCGUGUAACUCGGCCCGAGACCGGGGUAAUCGCGGCCAUUUAUCGAUAACCCGAGCGGUAAUUACGGUGAAAUCGGGACGUAAGUAGUCGGCAGCGUCGCCGCCUACGUAAUUUUGUUUGGUCGCAGCUGUGGAAACACUCACGGAAACGAUCGCGGCGGAGUUAAUUAAAAGUCAACACGACAGGGGCCGGUGAAAAAGUUCGACUGUUCCUAGAACGCGACACGGGACAGAUAAGAUCCGGACGUAAUUUCAUCAUUGCUUUAAGACGCUGUUUGUGCCGAGACUUUGUCGACUCCAUUAACGACCGUAGAUUUCAGUUGACCGUAGGAGCGUAACCGACGUAAUUGAAACGCGUUAGCCGAACGGCAAACAUGGCAGUGGAUAAAAAUUCACGAAGCCCUCGUCCCGACGAAUUUCGAGCGGCGAAUGGAUUUCCGAUUUCGCGGAAAUUUACAGCUCGAUAAUCGGGAAGCGUGCCAAGACGGCGGCCGGAGUGAAAGGAAAACAUUUGGUUUACGCCAGCGACGCAUCACGGAUGAAAGCUGUUUUUUUUUCCUUGUUCUAUUCCGCGGCUCCCUCGAACUCUCGGGAAGAAACAACUACGAAACGACGACGAACUUGCAGGGCGGUUUUUCCUCGGGGUCGGUUAGCUGAACUUUCGCAGGGUGUGAUACAGCCCCGGGCACACGAUCAGAAACGCCGCGCGCCUCCGAGCUUUUCCUCCCUUAUUCACCCGAAAAUGGUCGAUAGUGUGCCUCCUCCUGCAGGGGCUUCUGGAUUCGGGGAACGAGCGCGUUUACUCUCGUUAAGAUGAGUGCCGUGGGGUGAUUUACCCUCUUUACUCUGCCGCGACACUCGGCCCGAGUCCUCCCGUGGGAGAGCCGGGGAAGAAGGCGCCGGGAAACGGAGAGUAAAACGAAUCGUUCGCCUUACAAGAUCCUCUUAUCCUCGGCAGCGACGCGAGGAGAGAUUGAAAAGUUCUUCUCGCCGUUCAUCCGGUCGCUUUUUUCCUCCACCGUUACCAUAAAAAUUCGCCGGCUCGAUCCGAUUGAUCACCGAGCUCGUCGCACUUUAAUCGCAUUAGAUACCUAGCCUCGAGCUUAGCGCCGAGUCGACGGGGACCCAUAAACCAAACGUUUUAUUUAUCUCUACGAAAUUCUCAUCGCGACGGUAAUAACGACACGAAUCCCGGCAAAGACAAAAGCGGAGGACCAUUAAAUACAUCGACAGCCCGGCCGGAGACGGUGGAAAUACACAAUGGACAGGCGGGAAUUUUAUGUAAAGAGUGGUUUAACGAAUGGCAUUGUUAUCGUUUCGAGAUGAAAAAUUAUGGAGCCCCUCGAAACGAAAAGCGGGAGGUGAGAGGCGGUGGUCGGUCGGUCUCUGGGCCGUGGGACACGGACGGAGGCGAGACAAGAACCGAGCACCUGCACCGAGUAAAUCAAUAGCUCCUUCGCAAAGUACGAAGAAAAAGGUGUCUGAAUACGUAGGUACUCGGCGGGUUCUUUCCGCGGCCGGUUGUUCCACCGGCGUCGAUUCAACGCGACUUUAAUAAACCGUCGAUCUCUGGAAUCCUUGAAUUCAUAUUUUUUUCCCACGAUUUUAUCUGAUACCGGCGCUCUCGUCCACGCGCUUGUUUACACGCUUGAAAUCGCGAAACAGAAUCAACCAGCGCGGUUUAAUAAUGUUUAUUCCCGCUCUUAUUUCACCGUUUUAUUCGCCGUUUUUCUCAGCCAACGCCACAUAUUAAUAACGUUAUCUUUUUACCGUUUCGAACGUUCACUCGAAUAUUUCUAGGGUGCGUUAAUAAAUUGUUGAUGUUACAGGAUACUUUUUAUGUGGGAAACUUUCGCGUAUCUGUAUCUAGUAAAAUACAUAUUUUUGCCGGGUGAGAAACGGCACAGAUAUCGUAUCAUCGAUUGUCCUGAGAAUAAUUCGCCGAAACCAGGUUCAUUUAGCAAAAUGUAGAAUACCUCUGGAAUAACGUGCGGAGUGGAUGAAUAAUUCUGGCGGCUCGUCGCGGAGAAACGACGGAGGAUAUUUCAGAACGUGAUUCGGGAGUAAUUUCUAACGUGGGUCGUAUACGCCGCGGUACAAAAGUGUUCCGAAUGAAAAAGCGCGAUAGGUUGCUGGGGCAACGUCGCUGUCAUUUGUACCUGUUGAGGCAAUCGUGUACACCAACCGUUCCCGAAGACCCCGCCUACGAUUCCCGGCCGUUUCUACCGACUUAAACUUCGACUUUGACGUCGACUUUAUGCCCCGCUGUCGAGGGAUCUAUCCGUCCGCUUCUGGAAUUCAAACGACCCCGCUUAUUUCCCGGUAGUAUCGCGGAAACCGAAUGUGGAUCGCGACAUUUUUUACUCCAACAACAGAGAUCGUGGAGGACGAAUGAAAAUUGGAUGUGAACCGAGUAUCGCUCGUUUGCUGUUUCUGGGAACCGUGUCUUUGUGCUGUUUUUUCGCGAUCGGUUCGCGACGAAAUAAUAGAAAUUGAUGACAAUGGUCGAGCGGUCAAAGGAGAGACAAAUCGUAUCGCUUCGAUGGGUACAACGCCGGCGGCGAGCGCGUUAAAAGCAGAGACACCGCGAGUCGAGCCGGGGUAGAAGGCACCGAGGAGAUGAAUGGAAGGAAUAAAUAAGAGGACGGUCCGAUGCGAAGGGUGGAACGAGAGAAAAAAGAAGAGGCACGGCCGUGGAGGGAUGAUAAAGGGUGGAGAGGAGAAGAGUCUCACGGGCUCCUCGUCAAAAAAGAUGAAGUCACCGUGGU